AACGAACGCUGGCGGCAUGCCUAACACAUGCAAGUCGAACGAGACCUUCGGGUCUAGUGGCGCACGGGUGCGUAACGCGUGGGAACCUGCCCUCAGGUUCGGAAUAACUCCCCGAAAGGGGUGCUAAUACCGGAUAAUGUCUUCGGACCAAAGAUUUAUCGCCUUUGGAUGUUCCCGCGUUGGAUUAGCUAGUUGGUAGGGUAAAAGCCUACCAAGGCGACGAUCCAUAGCUGGGCUGAGAGGAUGAUCAGCCACACUGGGACUGAGACAUGGCCCAGACUCCUACGGGAGGGAGCAGUGGGGAAUAUUGGACAAUGGGCGAAAGCCUGAUCCAGCAAUGCCGCGUGAGUGAUGAAGGCCUUAGGGUUGUAAAGCUCUUUUACCCGGGAUGAUAAUGACAGUACCGGGAGAAUAAGCUCCGGCUAACUCCGUG
RNAcentral lists this ribosomal RNA (433 nucleotides) under uncultured bacterium. RNAcentral describes it as "partial 16S ribosomal RNA". It matches the Rfam family "Bacterial small subunit ribosomal RNA", at positions 29 to 507 of the family's 1533-position model. The record is from RNAcentral.